RNAcentral lists this ribosomal RNA (253 nucleotides) under uncultured bacterium. Its description in RNAcentral is "partial 16S ribosomal RNA". It matches the Rfam family "Bacterial small subunit ribosomal RNA", at positions 524 to 776 of the family's 1533-position model. The record is from RNAcentral.
UACGUAGGGUGCGAGCGUUAAUCGGAAUUACUGGGCGUAAAGCGUGCGCAGGCGGCUUGCUAAGACAGGUGUGAAAGCCCCGAGCUUAACUUGGGAAUGGCGCUUGUGACUGGCAGGCUGGAGUGUGGCAGAGGGAGGUGGAAUUCCACGUGUAGCAGUGAAAUGCGUAGAGAUGUGGAGGAACACCGAUGGCGAAGGCAGCCUCCUGGGCCAACACUGACGCUCAUGCACGAAAACGUGGGGAGCAAACAGG